Molecule: ribosomal RNA, 800 nt
Filed under: uncultured Arthrobacter sp.
Lineage: Bacteria; Bacillati; Actinomycetota; Actinomycetes; Micrococcales; Micrococcaceae
Description: bacterial SSU rRNA
Rfam family: Bacterial small subunit ribosomal RNA
Source: RNAcentral
GAGUUUGAUCCUGGCUCAGGAUGAACGCUGGCGGCGUGCUUAACACAUGCAAGUCGAACGAUGAAGCCCUGCUUGCAGGGUGGAUUAGUGGCGAACGGGUGAGUAACACGUGAGUAACCUGCCCCUGACUCUGGGAUAAGCCCGGGAAACUGGGUCUAAUACCGGAUAUGACUUCCUACUGCAUGGUGGGUUGUUGAAAGAUUUAUCGGUGGGGGAUGGACUCGCGGCCUAUCAGCUUGUUGGUGAGGUAAUGGCUCACCAAGGCGACGACGGGUAGCCGGCCUGAGAGGGUGACCGGCCACACUGGGACUGAGACACGGCCCAGACUCCUACGGGAGGCAGCAGUGGGGAAUAUUGCACAAUGGGCGGAAGCCUGAUGCAGCGACGCCGCGUGAGGGAUGACGGCCUUCGGGUUGUAAACCUCUUUCAGUAGGGAAGAAGCGAAAGUGACGGUACCUGCAGAAGAAGCGCCGGCUAACUACGUGCCAGCAGCCGCGGUAAUACGUAGGGCGCAAGCGUUAUCCGGAUUUAUUGGGCGUAAAGAGCUCGUAGGCGGUUUGUCGCGUCUGCCGUGAAAGUCCGAGGCUCAACCUCGGAUCUGCGGUGGGUACGGGCAGACUAGAGUGAUGUAGGGGAGACUGGAAUUCCUGGUGUAGCGGUGAAAUGCGCAGAUAUCAGGAGGAACACCGAUGGCGAAGGCAGGUCUCUGGGCAUUUACUGACGCUGAGGAGCGAAAGCAUGGGGAGCGAACAGGAUUAGAUACCCCGGUAGUCCUGGCCCUAAACGAUGAAUACUUGGUG